Molecule: ribosomal RNA, 465 nt
Filed under: uncultured bacterium
Lineage: Bacteria
Description: partial 16S ribosomal RNA
Rfam family: Bacterial small subunit ribosomal RNA
Source: RNAcentral
GACGAACGCUGGCGGCGUGCUUAACACAUGCAAGUCGAACGGAAAGGCCCUGCUUUCCGGGUACUCUAGUGGCGAACGGGUGAGUAACACGUGGGUGAUCUGCCCUGCACUUCGGGAUAAGCCUGGGAAACUGGGUCUAAUACCGGGGAGGGGCCCUUGUUAUGGUGGUUGUUGGGGAAAGUUUUCGGUGUAGGGUGGGCUCUCGGCCUAUCAGCUUGUGGGUGGGGUAAUGUCCUACCAAGGCGGCGAGGGGUAGCCGGCUUGGGAGGGUGGACGGCCACAUUGGGACGGAGAUACGGCCCAGAUUCCUACGGGGGGCAGAGGUGGGGAAUAUUGCACAAUGGGCGAAAGCCUGAUGCAGCGACGCGGCGUGGGGGAGGACGGCCUUCGGGUUGUAAACUCUUUCCGCUAGGGACGAAGCUUUUUGUGACGGUACCUAGAGAAGAAGCACCGGCUAACUACGUG